Rhododendron vialii is the source of this 1213-nucleotide long non-coding RNA. RefSeq lists it as uncharacterized. The transcript has 2 exons. The record is from RefSeq and is a predicted model, not a curated record. NCBI's taxonomy places the organism in Eukaryota, Viridiplantae, Streptophyta, Magnoliopsida, Ericales, Ericaceae.
UAUUGGUUGAGCAAUCCCAGUUUCCCAUUUAUCGCUGCACUCAUUUGAAUAUCCUCUUUGACAAAAAUUGAGGAGGAAGUUGCUUAAGAUCUGUUUGCAUUUUCAUGAUUGAGAGCAAAUGAGGUCAUUAGACUCAAGGUUAGUGCUCUUAAAUAUUUUGUGCUUAUUAUGUCUGCAAUUCCGCAGACCAAGACAAAUGCCAGAAUUUGAAUAUAAGGGUUGUAUUAGGUUUGAUGAGCUGUUUGUCUUUAUGUAAAUGUUUAUGUACAAAUGCAGCUACGGCUUUUGGUGAUCUAUACAUGCAUAUGUGUAGUCUCCGGUGGACAGGGGUGGUCAGCAGGUGCCACCCUAUAUAUUUCUACUAAUUCUCAUUGGUUCCACCUAUUUUAGGUACUAAAAAAAAGACUUUUGGCCCAUCUAAAAGUUUUAGUUUAUUGGUUUUUCUCCUCAGAGACAAGAAAGUAAAUAAACAGGUUUAAGAAUUUAACCUUAGCCCCUUCAUAGUAUAAAUAAGUACAUCAUUCAAAGUAUUUCCUCCAAACUUCAAAUCAUUUUGCCUUGGUCCCCUUUGCGGGAUUCUAACAGUUGUGCCAUUGGUCUCAUCCUAGUCAUUCAUUGUCAUGGUUCUCUAUGAUAGUAUAGAAAGUAUAUGUGUAGGAUCUGAGAGUUAAUGAAUGUCAUGUAGUGACAUCCAUGGUGCACGAUGCACGAAGGGGAGAUGUGUUUGCUUUACCUUUCAUUUAAUUGAUCUCACAAAGGUUGAGCAACCUCCUUGACGAUCUGUCCAUCCUUAGGGGGAAUCUAUGGAAUGACCAUAAAGAUGGGGAGGUUUUGGAAGAAGUUGCUUAGAACCUGUUUGUAUCUUCAUGAUUGAAUCACCACAUGAUUGAGAAUGAACUAGGGCAUCAAACUCAUCACAAGGUUCCGGGUGUCUUAGUUCUAAGAGACGAGUGACAAAGAUGGUGAUCCCUGAAUAAGUUUGGACUACUGUUUUGUAUCUAGAAGAGGAAGUUCGUGCUGCUGUAUCAGGAUGCUGUUCUGGACUUGGGGGUUGCUGCUGUUUUGGGUUGCUAUUCUGGUUUAGGCAUGCUGCUGCUUUUUUAUUGUGAACUUUAGUCGUAGUAUCAGACUUGGUGGUUUUCCUGUUGUGGAAUUUAUUUUCAGACUGUUUCCAUUGUUGUUUUUUUGCUAUUUAACGAGUUGUUUUAGUCUA